GACGAACGCUGUCGGCGUGCUUAACACAUGCAAGUCGAACGGAAAGGCCCUGCUUUUGUGGGGUGCUCGAGUGGCGAACGGGUGAGUAACACGUGAGUAACCUGCCCUUGACUUUGGGAUAACUUCAGGAAACUGGGGCUAAUACCGGAUAGGAGCUCCUGCUGCAUGGUGGGGGUUGGAAAGUUUCGGCGGUUGGGGAUGGACUCGCGGCUUAUCAGCUUGUUGGUGGGGUAGUGGCUUACCAAGGCUUUGACGGGUAGCCGGCCUGAGAGGGUGACCGGCCACAUUGGGACUGAGAUACGGCCCAGACUCCUACGAGAGGCAGCAGUGGGGAAUAUUGCACAAUGGGCGGAAGCCCGAUGCAGCAACGCCGCGUGCGGGAUGACGGCCUUCGGGUUGUAAACCGCUUUCGCCUGUGACGAAGCGUGAGUGACGGUAAUGGGUAAAGAAGCACCGGCUAACUACGUGCCAGCAGCCGCGGUGAUACGUAGGGUGCGAGCGUUGUCCGGAUUUAUUGGGCGUAAAGGGCUCGUAGGUGGUUGAUCGCGUCGGAAGUGUAAUCUUGGGGCUUAACCCUGAGCGUGCUUUCGAUACGGGUUGACUUGAGGAAGGUAGGGGAGAAUGGAAUUCCUGGUGGAGCGGUGGAAUGCGCAGAUAUCAGGAGGAACACCAGUGGCGAAGGCGGUUCUCUGGGCCUUUCCUGACGCUGAGGAGCGAAAGCGUGGGGAGCGAACAGGCUUAGAUACCCUGGUAGUCCACGCUGUAAACGGUGGGUACUAGGUGUGGGGUCCAUUCCACGGGUUCCGUGCCGUAGCUAACGCUUUAAGUACCCCGCCUGGGGAGUACGGCCGCAAGGCUAAAACUCAAAGGAAUUGACGGGGCCCCGCACAAGCGGCGGAGCAUGCGGAUUAAUUCGAUGCAACGCGUAGAACCUUACCUGGGUUUGACAUGGAUCGGGAGUGCUCAGAGAUGGGUGUGCCUCUUUUGGGGUCGGUUCACAGGUGGUGCAUGCCUGUCGUCAGCUCGUGUCGUGAGAUGUUGGGUUAAGUCCCGCAACGAGCGCAACCCUUGUUCACUGUUGCCAGCACGUUAUGGUGGGGACUCAGUGGAGACCGCCGGGGUCAACUCGGAGGAAGGUGGGGAUGACGUCAAGUCAUCAUGCCCCUUAUGUCCAGGGCUUCACGCAUGCUACAAUGGCUGGUACAGAGAGUGGCGAGCCUGUGAGGGUGAGCGAAUCUCGGAAAGCCGGUCUCAGUUCGGAUUGGGGUCUGCAACUCGACCUCAUGAAGUCGGAGUCGCUAGUAAUCGCAGAUCAGCAACGCUGCGGUGAAUACGUUCCCGGGGCU
This 1346-nucleotide ribosomal RNA is filed under the name uncultured bacterium. RNAcentral's name for it is "partial 16S ribosomal RNA". It matches the Rfam family "Bacterial small subunit ribosomal RNA", at positions 28 to 1381 of the family's 1533-position model. The record is from RNAcentral.